Molecule: ribosomal RNA, 274 nt
Filed under: uncultured bacterium
Lineage: Bacteria
Description: partial 16S ribosomal RNA
Rfam family: Bacterial small subunit ribosomal RNA
Source: RNAcentral
AUACGUAUGUGGCGAGCGUUGUUCGGAAUUACUGGGCAUAAAGGGCUCGUAGGCGGGUCGGUCAGUCAGAGGUGAAAUCCCCCGGCUUAACCGGGGAACGGCCUUUGAUACUGCCGGUCUUGAGUGCGGUAGGGGAGAGUGGAACUCCUGGUGGAGCGGUGAAAUGCGUAGAUAUCAGGAGGAACGCCGGAGGCGAAAGCGACUCUCUGGGCCGCAACUGACGCUGAGGAGCGAAAGCCAGGGGAGCGAACGGGAUUAGAAACCCCAGUAGUCC